CACGUAGGCACCAAGCGUUGUCCGGAUUUAUUGGGCGUAAAGAGCUCGUAGGCGGUUCAGUAAGUCGGGUGUGAAAACUUUGGGCUUAACCCAAAGCGUGCAUCUGAUACUGCUGUGACUUGAGUUCGGUAGGGGAGUGGGGAAUUCCUAGUGUAGCGGUGAAAUGCGCAGAUAUUAGGAGGAACACCAAUGGCGAAGGCAGCACUCUGGGACGUGACUGACGCUGAGACGCGAAAGCGUGGGGAGCAAACAGG
This 254-nucleotide ribosomal RNA is filed under the name uncultured bacterium. RNAcentral describes it as "partial 16S ribosomal RNA". It matches the Rfam family "Bacterial small subunit ribosomal RNA", at positions 524 to 776 of the family's 1533-position model. The record is from RNAcentral.